GACGAACGCUGGCGGCGUGCUUAACACAUGCAAGUCGAGCGGAAAGGCCCUGCUUUUGUGGGGUGCUCGAGUGGCGAACGGGUGAGUAACACGUGAGUAACCUGCCCUUGACUUUGGGAUAACUUCAGGAAACUGGGGCUAAUACCGGAUAGGAGCUCCUGCUGCAUGGUGGGGGUUGGAAAGUUUCGGCGGUUGGGGAUGGACUCGCGGCUUAUCAGCUUGUUGGUGGGGUAGUGGCUUACCAAGGCUUUGACGGGUAGCCGGCCUGAGAGGGUGACCGGGCAACGUUGGGACUGAAGUGCGGCCCGGCCCCAUCGGGGGGCCGGAGGGGGGGAAUAUUGCACACGGGGCGGAGGCCUAAUGCAGCACCGCCGGGGGCGGGAGCGCGCCUUUCGGUUUGUACCCCUCUUCCGCCUGGAAGGAAGGGGGGGGGAGGUAAGGGGGAAAAGAGCCCCCCCCAAACUCGUUC
Molecule: ribosomal RNA, 469 nt
Filed under: uncultured bacterium
Lineage: Bacteria
Description: partial 16S ribosomal RNA
Rfam family: Bacterial small subunit ribosomal RNA
Source: RNAcentral